CAGUAAAUCCCUCUAAAUCAUCACGGGUUUCAGCUUUCCCUCAGAGCUCAAGGUCCAGCUGCAGAGAGCGAGCUGAUGUCCACUCCGGCGGCGUUCCUGGACGAGCUCCCGGGAUGGUUCCUGUGGACGGGAGUCUUCUUCCCCGUGACGGCGCUCCUGCUGCUCCUCAUCGCUGUCCUCAGCUGGACACUCAGAGAGACAGAGGAAGAGCUGGCCGUGACCCCUGACCCCUGGCACACACACUAUCAGCUGUGUUACGAGCCCCGCUGCAGACACAGGACACAGAGGACAAGACCAGCGUGAUGACCGCAGCAGAGACCUGUGUGUGACCACAGCGAGUAUCCUACUUUCAGCUCCAUCAGAAACGGCUGACGAUGUGAAUGUCAAAGAAGUCUGAGGACACACCGUCACACAUGAGGCUUCAACUUGAUCAAGAUCAAUGAGGAAACCAUGAAGAGACAGAAAUCUGCUGUUUGGGGCUAUAUGAAAGAGCGUAGAGAGACGUGGUGUCACAGCAGGACACUCUCAGACAUCACACAGCUCUCUUUAUUCUGAUUGACCUCAGGAGAACUGCAGUACUGAGAACAACACCGAAGACUCAGAAUGCGUGUGAAUCACAUAGAAACUAAUAUUGUAAUGUUCUUGUCGUCGUAAUGGACUAUCACUACUAUCACUUGUAUCGUGUAUAUCUCAGACCAGUGACAAUGCUUACAUGCAUUUGGAGCUUCAAAAACACAAAAAAGUUGAAUACAUCAAGUUUAUUUCAUUAAGUAUACUUAAGUAAAGUUCAAGUAUAUUUUAAUUAUACUUCAUGUAGCAAGUAUAGAAAAUAUCAGUGUUCUAGUAGUAUACUUGUAAGUGUACUGUUUCAUUACUCCUUGGGACUAAAUUGGCACACUUUCUAGUAUAUAAAAGUUUACUUAAGUAUCCUUCAAGUAUAACAGUAACAAACUUUGAGUACACAACUAGUUUACCUCUGUCUGUAGUGUGUACUGCAAUUAUACUAAAAGUGAACUUAUAGGUACACUGACAGUUUACUAAUUAAAUACUUAGUAGUUUUAUACUGCAAGUAUACUCAUACGUUUUCUUUAAGUGAACUUUACAUCAUACUUUAAGUAAACUACUAUGUCCCUGUUUAGGUUUCAAUGUGUAUAUAUUUUGUUAUAUGAAUAUCUGAACAUACAAAACAUCCAAAGAAAGAACAGGAUAUCUGCUUGUGAACAAAAACAUUAUAUUCUAGCUUCAUGCAUUUUUUUUAACACUUUGAGAGAGUUUCAUAAAAAAAUAAAGAAAUAACAUUUUGAACAAAAAGCUGAAAGAAAAAAGACUAUGAAUGUGAUUCAGAAUGACAAUCAAAUUAUAGAUGGAGUUGAUCAGCACCCCAAAGCUUGACUGUAAUUAUUACAUUUUAUUCCAUCACGUUACAUGUUUACUGCUGUUUCAUGUCAGAUGAUGGUGUUAGAUCAUGUGUUAGUAUCUGUUGUUUCUUUAUUCUUCACUUGUGUCUUUUGGAAAGUCUAUAAUAAUGAAAACAGAUUCUAGGAGUAUAGCUCAAAUAUAUUUAGAUUUAAAUAUAAGCAGAAGUCAAGGAAAUCUCAUUUGAAGUAUAUUUCUGAGAAGUACAUAAAAAGUAAACAAAGAUACUGUCCUAUUUUUAGUUUUAAAAGUAGUAUACCAAGAGCACUCUGGAAUAAAAUUAUUCUUAAGGGUUGGCAUGAAUUUAAGAUGCAUUCAGCAGUUUGGUGCUUUUUUAUAGGUUUAGUUUUACACAUUAAGAAAUAGUGUUUCUGAUGGUACUGCAGCACCUGACAUUACUGCUACAACAGUGAUGCUAACGCUAACUAAACAACUCCUGAACGCACCUUGACCCCG
Carassius auratus (goldfish) is the source of this 1872-nucleotide long non-coding RNA. RefSeq lists it as uncharacterized. NCBI's taxonomy places the organism in Eukaryota, Metazoa, Chordata, Actinopteri, Cypriniformes, Cyprinidae. The transcript is spliced from 3 exons. The record is from RefSeq and is a predicted model, not a curated record.